ACCGUUUCGGCUUUUGUUGGUUUUAAAGGUCUAUUGGAGAUUAUGGAGCCGUACGACAAGCGUUCCGUGCCCUUCCGGGUACUGGCGCCUGUGGCUGGGUUCACCUACUUGCGGGCGGCUUUCGGGUCGUUCGUCUGUAGCGCCCAGUCACUUUGCGGCUUUCAGGAAUGAAGGAGGGUAGUUCGGGUGAGAACGUACUGGGGCGUGAGAGGUGAAAUUCUUAGACCGCACCAAGACGAACUACAGCGAAGGCAUUCUCAAAGGAUACCUUCCUCAAUCAAGAACCAAAGUGCGGGGAUCGAAGAUGAUUAGAGACCAUUGUAGUCCGCACUGCAAACGAUGACACCCAUGAAUUGGGGACCAUUUGGUUGCGCACCGGGGACAUCCUCGCGAUGCUCCUCGGGCCACCGUUUUACUAAUUUACGUGCACAUUCUUAUCUGGCCCUGCCUUCACGGGUAGGUGUCCACUCACGGGAAUAUCCUCAGCACGUCUCUACUUUUUCCACGCGAAAGCUUUGAGGUUACAGUCUCA
Molecule: ribosomal RNA, 532 nt
Filed under: Herpetomonas pessoai
Lineage: Eukaryota; Euglenozoa; Kinetoplastea; Trypanosomatida; Trypanosomatidae
Description: SSU rRNA
Rfam family: Eukaryotic small subunit ribosomal RNA
Source: RNAcentral